This 125-nucleotide small RNA is filed under the name Marmota monax (woodchuck). Lineage: Eukaryota; Metazoa; Chordata; Mammalia; Rodentia; Sciuridae. The record is from RNAcentral.
GCCAGGCACAGUGGCGCAUGCCUGUAAUCUCAGCAGCUCAGGAGGCUGAGACAGGAGGAUGGCAAGUUCAAAGCCAGCCUCAGCAAAAGUGAGGCGCUAAGCAACUCAGUGAGACCCUGUCUCUA